UACAGAGGUCCCAAGCGUUGUUCGGAUUCACUGGGCGUAAAGGGUGCGUAGGCGGUCGGGUAAGUCUGAUGUGAAAUCUCACAGCUUAACUGUGAAACUGCAUUGGAUACUAUCCGGCUCGAGGAAUGGAGGGGAGACUGGAAUACUUGGUGUAGCAGUGAAAUGCGCAGAUAUCAGGAGGAACACCGGUGGCGAAGGCGGGUCUCUGGGCAUUUCCUGACGCUGAGGCGCGAAAGCGUGGGGAGCAAACGGG
This 253-nucleotide ribosomal RNA is filed under the name uncultured bacterium. Its description in RNAcentral is "partial 16S ribosomal RNA". It matches the Rfam family "Bacterial small subunit ribosomal RNA", at positions 524 to 776 of the family's 1533-position model. The record is from RNAcentral.